Molecule: ribosomal RNA, 2258 nt
Filed under: activated sludge metagenome
Description: bacterial LSU rRNA
Rfam family: Bacterial large subunit ribosomal RNA
Source: RNAcentral
AGGGCGUAUGGGGGAUGCCUUGGCUUCCGGGAGCGAAGAAGGACGUGGUAAGCUGCGAAAAUCGCCGGGGAUUAGCAAACAUGAGUUGAUCCGGCGGACUCCGAAUGGGACAACCCACCAGGCUGAAGGCCUGGUACCAUCGCAAGAUGGGGCAGACGCAGGGAACUGAAACAUCUUAGUACCUGCAGGAAAAGAAAGAAAGAUCGAUUCUCUGAGUAGUGGCGAUCGAAAGGAGAAGAGCCUAAACCGCCGUUGUUUUGGCAAGGGCGGGGUUGCAGGACCCUAUUAGUGAUGUUAUAAAAGAAGUGGAAGUUGUCUGGAAAGGCACACCGCAGGGCGUGAAAGUCGCGUACAUGCAAUUGAAUAACAACACAAGGGAAUCCUAAGUAGGGCGGGACACGAGGAAUCCUGUCUGAAUCCACGGGGACCAUCCCGUAAGGCUAAAUAUUACCGGAAGACCGAUAGUGAACCAGUACUGUGAAGGAAAGGUGAAAAGUACCCCGGACAGGGGGGUGAAAAAGAACCUGAAACCGUACGCCUACAAGCGGUCGGAGCGGGCAAGAGUCCGUAACGGCGUGCCUUUUGCAUAAUGAGCCUACGAGUUACUGUUGCUAGCCAGGUUAAGUACUUCAGGUACGGAGCCGAAGCGAAAGCGAGUCUGAACAGGGCGUGUUGAGUUAGCAGUAGUAGACGCGAAACCUAGUGAUCUACCCUUGGCCAGGUUGAAGUAUCCGUAAAAGGAUAUGGAGGACCGAACCAGUAUCCGUUGAAAAGGAUUUGGAUGAGCUGAGGGUAGGGGUGAAAGGCUAAUCAAACUGGGAGAUAGCUCGUACUCCCCGAAAUGUCUUUUGGGACAGCCUCAAGCUACAGAGUUUACCGGAGGUAGAGCUACUGAUAGGAUGCGAGGGCUUCACCGCCUAUCAAAUCCUGACAAACUCCGAAUGCCGGUAAAUGAUGCUUGGGAGUGAGUUGCCGGGUGCUAAUGUCCGGUAGCGAGAGGGAAAGAGCCCAGACCAACGGCUAAGGCCCCUAAAGUGUGUUAAGUUGACAGAACGAGGUGCGGUUGCUGAGACAGCUAGGAUGUUAGCUUGGAAGCAGCUAGUCAUUUAAAGAGUGCGUAACAGCUCACUAGUCGAGCGACUGUGCGUGGAUAAUAAUCGGGCAUCAAACACACUGCCGAAGCCAUGGACUUCAAAGAAGUGGUAGGGGAGCAUUCCAGAGGGCGUAGAAGGAUAACCUGUGAAGGAAUCUGGAGCGUCUGGAAAAGCAGAUGUAGGCAUAAGUAACGAUAAUGCGGGUUAAAAACCCGCACACCGCAAGCCCAAGGUUUCCUGAUCAAUGUUAGACAGAUCAGGGUUAGUCAGGACCUAAGGGGAAUCCGAGAGGAGCACCCGAUGGACAAAUGGUUAAUAUUCCAUUACCUGUAUGAUAAAGGGGAGGAGUGACGUAGGAGUGACAUGUACGCCGACUGACGGAAUAGUUGGUUAAAGCACGUAAGCAGAUCCGAAGAUUAAGAGUCAUUGGAUGCAGAAGUGCGACAGUACCGCAAGGCUUCGGCUGCGCGGAUAGUUACAGUAAGCAGACUACCGAGAAAAGCUUCGUACCCGUUACCUAUCAUAGAGCCUGUACCGUAAACCGACACAGGUGGGCGAGGAGAGUAUCCUCAGGUGCUCGAGAGAAUCAUGGCUAAGGAACUCGGCAAAAUGACCCCGUAACUUCGGGAAAAGGGGUCCCUGGCGACAGGGCGCAGAGAAAUGGCCCAGGCGACUGUUUAACAAAAACACAUGGCUUUGCAAAAUCGCAAGAUGAAGCAUAAGGCCUGACACCUGCCCGGUGCUGGAAGGUUAAGAGGGGGCGUCAGCCGCAAGGCGAAGCGCUGAAUCGAAGCCCCAGUAAACGGCGGCCGUAACUAUAACGGUCCUAAGGUAGCGAAAUUCCUUGUCGGGUAAGUUCCGACCUGCACGAAUGGUGUAACGAUCUGGGCGCUGUCUCAGCCAUGAGCUCGGUGAAAUUGUAGUAACGGUGAAGAUGCCGUUUACCCGCAACGGGACGAAAAGACCCCGUGAACCUUUACUAUAGCUUAGCGCUGAUUUUGGAUAAGUGAUGUGUAGGAUAGGUGGGAGACUGCGAAGCAGGUACGCCAGUAUUUGUGGAGUCGCCGUUGAAAUACCACCCUUUGCUUAUCUGGGAUCUAACUUGAACAAGGACACCGCUUGGUGGGUAGUUUGACUGGGGUGGUCGCCUCCAAAAGCGUAACG